This 433-nucleotide ribosomal RNA is filed under the name uncultured bacterium. RNAcentral's name for it is "partial 16S ribosomal RNA". It matches the Rfam family "Bacterial small subunit ribosomal RNA", at positions 29 to 507 of the family's 1533-position model. The record is from RNAcentral.
AACGAACGCUGGCGGCAUGCCUAACACAUGCAAGUCGAACGAGACCUUCGGGUCUAGUGGCGCACGGGUGCGUAACGCGUGGGAACCUGCCCUUAGGUUCGGAAUAACUCCCCGAAAGGGGUGCUAAUACCGGAUAAUGUCUUCGGACCAAAGAUUUAUCGCCUUUGGUUGGGCCCGCGUUGGAUUAGCUAGUUGGUAGGGUAAAAGCCUACCAAGGCGACGAUCCAUAGCUGGUCUGAGAGGAUGAUCAGCCACACUGGGACUGAGACACGGCCCAGACUCCUACGGGAGGCAGCAGUGGGGAAUAUUGGACAAUGGGCGAAAGCCUGAUCCAGCAAUGCCGGGUGAGUGAUGAAGGCCUUAGGGUUGUAAAGCUCUUUUACCCGGGAUGAUAAUGACAGUACCGGGAGAAUAAGCUCCGGCUAACUCCGUG